Molecule: ribosomal RNA, 254 nt
Filed under: uncultured bacterium
Lineage: Bacteria
Description: partial 16S ribosomal RNA
Rfam family: Bacterial small subunit ribosomal RNA
Source: RNAcentral
CGUAGGAGCAAGCGUUGUCCGGAUUUACUGGGUGUAAAGGGUGCGUAGGCGGCUUUGCAAGUCAGAUGUGAAAUCUAUGGGCUCAACCCAUAAACUGCAUUUGAAACUGUAGGGCUUGAGUGAAGUAGAGGCAGGCGGAAUUCCCCGUGUAGCGGUGAAAUGCGUAGAGAUGGGGGAGGAACACCAGUGGCGAAGGCGGCCUGCUGGGCUUAACUGACGCUGAGGCACGAAAGCGUGGGGUAGCAAACAGGAUU